UGAUGGAUGAGCCUGCGGCGCAUUAGCUAGUGGGUAGGGUAAAGGCCUACCAAGGCGACGAGGCGUAGCCGACCUGAGAGGGUGGACGGCCACACUGGGACGGAGACACGGCCCAGCCUCCUACGGGAGGCAGCAGUAGAGAAUCUUCGGCAAUGGGCGAAAGCCUGACCGAGAAGGGGCCGCGUGAAUGAUGAAGGCCUUCGGGUUGUAAAAUAAUGGUAUAAGGGAAGAACGACUUUAUAGGAAAUGGUAGAG
RNAcentral lists this ribosomal RNA (255 nucleotides) under uncultured bacterium. Its description in RNAcentral is "partial 16S ribosomal RNA". It matches the Rfam family "Bacterial small subunit ribosomal RNA", at positions 219 to 471 of the family's 1533-position model. The record is from RNAcentral.